AUGUCGGGUGUUAGUUUCCGCACUGAUGUGGAGGAUAUAUAUAGGUCGUGUGGCUACGCUAUUUUAGGAGGACAAAGAGUAAUUGAUAAUUCAUAUUUAUACACAUCCAAGUAUAUGACAUUAAAUGUCUAUUAUAUAUUCAGGCCUCCAGAAGCUCCAGUGCAUAGCGGACGGCUAAAGCGUGCGGAGAAUGUCAAGAGAGGGCGGGGUCGACCGAUUUUGACAUGGGAGGAGUCCGUUAAGAGAGACCUGAAGGAUUGGAGUAUCGACAAAGAGCUAGCUAUGGACAGGGGUGCAUGGAAGCUUGCUAUCCAUGUGCCAGAGCCAUGA
RNAcentral lists this ribosomal RNA (330 nucleotides) under Triticum aestivum (bread wheat). RNAcentral's name for it is "partial small subunit ribosomal RNA". Lineage: Eukaryota; Viridiplantae; Streptophyta; Magnoliopsida; Poales; Poaceae. The record is from RNAcentral.